Non-coding RNA from Cajanus cajan (pigeon pea), 1759 nucleotides. The record is from RefSeq and is a predicted model, not a curated record. Lineage: Eukaryota; Viridiplantae; Streptophyta; Magnoliopsida; Fabales; Fabaceae.
UGUCCUCAGUCCUCAACGUUUGAAAUGGAGAACCUCAGCUAAGAAGAAGAACUCGGAAGUGAGCAACUUAGAAGCACCACCUUCCAACGCUUAAAGUCAUUCUCCUUGCACCUUCUCGACCUUUUGCAGAGCCUUCACAUUGAGAAUCAGAAGCAUUGUUUUGUCACUGUACUCCCUCAACCUCAACUCCUUCGUUUCCUUCGCAAUUCUUCUCCCUCUACUUUUCAACCUUUCUUCGACUACACUCUGUUUCGUUGCUUCUGCUCCUCGAUGGAGCUAUUCAGUGCAGAAAGAACAACAUAGAAACUUGAAUCUAAGGAAAAGUGUACUAUGCUUGAUGUUCCAAAAUCACCUAUUCAAGUGAGUGAUGGCAUUGCUGAAAGUGUGGUUAAUUGUUUGGAGGAGCUUCCGAGGAAGUGUCAUUUGAGUUCUGUUGAUCAGAUGGUUGUGCUGCUAAAAAAGUUAACAUACAGAGUCAUGUUAUCACCCACCGAGGCUUCAGAGGAGUUUCGUGAAGGGAUUUUAUUUUGUGUCAAGGCACUACUUUUGAGUUUAUAUCCCUGUUUUAAAGUGUCUUGCUUGUGUAAAAAAGUAUGUGGUUUACCAGAACUUUCGGAUGGCAUUUAUAAUGAUAGGCUUCAUAAAACUUUCAAGUAUGGAUUGUAAUCAGAAGAAUGUUUACUUGCAUUUCUCCAGUCUCAAUUUGCGUCAGCUGCUGUUGGACACUAGCUAUCACUUCUUCUCAAAAUAUAGAGGCAGCUAGGGGACCAAGGUUCCACAAGAAUUCAAAUUGAAGCAUUCAAAACUGAGGGUGCUUGUUGCUAAGAUGAAGCGGGGGUAAAGUCUUAAGCUUCUGAAUAAACCUCACAAUGAUGUUGUGGAUAUAGAACCAUGUUUGACCAAAUUCAAGCUAAUCAGUUUUUAUGGCUCCAUAUCAAGACUUGCAACCCUCAAUACCCAUGAAAGCUUAUAGAGAUGUACAACUAUGGACUUUAUGUACCACCAUCCUUUACUUUGCAAUUGUUGAAUGACAUCAAAUAGAUAGAGUCAAAUUGAAGUUUAGGCUCUUCCAAAAAGUUUUUUCUCUACCCAACAAUUUGGACGAUCUCCAUGCAAUUGACAUGAGAGGAAGAUAUGAUGAAAAUUGGAUCAUAAGACAUACAUAAUGAAUAGAUGUGUGGAACAAUAGACGUGAGCUGACAUUAACGAGACAUCCAAUGUAAGGCCCAUUGUGUCACACAUGAGAAUACAUGGAAUGGUACAUUUCCAAUUCCAUCCAUUUCCUAUAUGUGCCACCACUACUACAAGAUCCAAGGAGGAGGAGUCAACAACUACGGACUACCACAUCAUUUGAUACCGGUACAUUUUCCACAUGAUCAUAUCACGAGACUACACCAUUUACUUCACCAAACAUCAUGCCUGAAGCAAAUAUAAUUGAUAAGAUGCAUUCGUUUGCAACUACUUCGGAGGACUUUUUUACAAACUUAUUUGGAGCUGAUUUUGCAACUCGAUCUUCAUCACAAAGUUACAUGCAGUCUCUUUAUCAACCGGAUUUUGCAAAUGAAUCUGGUAUUCCUCAAAUGCUUUCCAACAAAUGGCCAUUCAAAAUGACCCAACUCCUCCACAACUUGAUCCUGAAUUCCAAGAACAAGAACCACAACGAAAAAAUCUACCACGUAACAGACAUCACCCUCGUUGUGAAAUUGGCCACCAUUACAGAGAUAGUUAAUAAUUGUAUGUAAAACAUUGUGAAGCUUCC